UCAUGAUUUCUCUUAUAAAUAUGGCAUUUAUAGUUUAGGCACAUAGAUUGUUCUCCUUCUCCCUUUUUUUUUUUUUUUUUUUUUAUAAUGGUGGUGUCUAAGCUCAUGUGCACCUUGGCUAAUACCCCACUGUCAUUGCUCUCUCUCUCUCUCUCUCUGCUUAGAGAGAUUGUUUUCUAAUUCUUGGAGAAUUUUUACUGUGACACCAAGGCUUGGAUUGUUAGAAGUCCUUUACACAGUGGAAAGUGUAGGCACGUUGCAGAUGUGUAAAAGCUGUAAAAGUGCAGGCACCAAGGCAUGUAACUCCUUUUUUUACUAGCAGCAACACUAAGGAGGUACUGCUUAUGUGUAAAAGCUGGAAGUGGAUCCCUUACGUAUGUAAGGAUCAUAAAAGGUUCAGCACUAUAACUAUAUCAUAUACAAAGAAGCCUUGCAACCAAUACUUCAAAUUUGAACGAACCCAUACUUAACAUAAGUUACAUUUUCUGAUUUCUUCUUAAAAAUCCUAUAAUUUCUUUCUAAUCUUUCUGUGAAAAUGUACAACUUCCAGAUCUGUUUCGGCAUAAAUUGUGUUGACUUGGGUGGGGGUGCCGAUGGAGGUGCAGAUCUAGAAUUUAGAUCCUUCAUGACCUAAAUUUUAAGGGUUGAGCAUACUGAUCUAGGCAUGGAUAUGGAUGCGGGGAUUUGGCAAUAAUUCAAUAUCUAAAAAAAGAGUUAUAAAAAUAUACCUAAAUUGUUGUGGCCUAUUUGGAAGGUAAGGAUGUGCAAAUUUUUUGGAGCAAUUUUGAAUCUAAUUAUUAUUUACAGAGUACAGAUGCAUCUCCUUGCUGUUUCCUUGGAGUACCAUGGCUACUUUGCAAAUGAUAUAGAGGUCGUGAUAGACCCUUGAGUUCAUUGCACAUUCAACAUUGAUGUUGACCUGUAUUUUGAAGCAUCUUUUGGUAUCUGUCUUUUUAAUACAAAUAUCAUUUAACGAUAGAAAAGACUUACCCCUUAAUUAUGAUUUCACUUUAGCUUUUGUUUUGAUUUCAGAAAUCAUUGUCUCUUCCUCAAAUUUCUCUAUUUAUUCUAAUCAAAAUACCCAAAAUUGGUUGAUCAUAUCCGGUACGGAUCCUAUACACACCCACAUCAUGUUGACUCGGGUGCGGCAUCGAAAUUGAAGAGUCUGAGCAACUUAGAGAGCACCAACUGCACAUAUGGAAACCUCAGUCUUGCAUGUUAUCUUGUGGUCAGCCACGCAUCAUGUACAUCUGUCCAAUCAAAGCAUGCUACUUCAGUUGGAGCUUUGGUUCUCCAGGUUAUAUUCCAUGACUGUCUGUAGUCCGUCUUGUUUCCUCUCUUAAUAGGCAUGAUAUCACUGAGAAUUUCCGGUCCUUCUUUACUAUCAAGAAGAGGAAUUUUCUUGUCAUGUAUCUAGAAUUACUCCUACUAUUUCGAAUAAUGGAUAAGCUCUUUCAACAUCCCAAUCAUUAAAAUUCUUCUGAUUGGAAUGUUCCAGCCCCUUACGUUUCAGUAUUCAGCAAUAUUACUGUUUGCGGAUUCCCGUGCUAUAUAGUUCUGAAAAUAUUUCUGCUACAGUGCCCUCCCAUGCUGUUUAUGCUGCCCAAUAUUAACUCUCCUUCCAUUACUAGUUUUGAGUCGUUUGUUUAUUUUGGAAUUCACUCCAUAAACAUUUGUUACGUUUUCAAAUAGCCGCACCAUGAGAAGAAGUGACGGUUAGUUUCCAGAGUUCUGCAUCCCAUGCUUAUGCUUGAUCAUCUGCUUCCACAGUUCAUUAAUGUUAUCAUUAAUUCUCCAAGACUCUGAACAGUAAGCUUUUGUUAUGUAAUCUUAGGUUCUGGAGAAUCAAUCUUUGCCAUUAUACCCAGAUGAAUCUUCCUUCCUGAUUUCCUUCUCAGAGUUCCUCUUCUGAACUUGUUCAAUUGUUUUCUACCGUGUACCAUAGAUGUGAGUGAAACCAAGUGGGUAGGGAUGCCUUCAAGUUCUCUAUUCACUAGUGUCAGUUUUCCACCAAAGGAGAUACUGCUUCUUCCAUGAACGUACUUACUUUCUCUACUCCAAACUCUUAGACUCAUGUUUGGAUCCUUAUGGUUGUCCAAGUUAUAGUGUGGGGAAAUUCUUUAACCUUGUUAGAAUAUGAGUAGGAAUAGGAAUAACAUAUUAAAUCCAACUUGGAAAAGGAUUAUCAUGUAGUGUCCUAUUAGGAAAAGGA
Molecule: long non-coding RNA, 2212 nt
Organism: Capsicum annuum
Lineage: Eukaryota; Viridiplantae; Streptophyta; Magnoliopsida; Solanales; Solanaceae
Exons: 2
Source: RefSeq, a predicted model, not a curated record